AAUCAACGCUGGCGGCGUGCCUCAGACAUGCAAGUCGAACGAUUAAAGCUCUCUUCGGAGAGUGUAUAGAGUGGCGCACGGGUGAGUAACACGUAAGUAAUCUACCUUUGAGUGGGGAAUAACGUCCGGAAACGGACGCUAAUACCGCAUAAUGCAGCGGCAUCGCAAGAUGACAGUUGUUAAAGAUUUAUCGCUUGAAGAGGAGCUUGCGGCAGAUUAGCUAGUUGGUAAGGUAAUGGCUUACCAAGGCUACGAUCUGUAACCGGUCUAAGAGGACGGUCGGUCACACUGACACUGAAUAACGGGUCAGACUCCUACGGGAGGCAGCAGUCGGGAAUUUUGGGCAAUGGGCGAAAGCCUGACCCAGCAACGCCGCGUGAAGGAUGAAGUAUUCGGUAUGUAAACUUCGAAAGAAUGGGAAGAAUAAAUGACGGUACCAUUUAUAAGGUCCGGCUAACUACGUGCCAGCCCGCCG
RNAcentral lists this ribosomal RNA (475 nucleotides) under uncultured bacterium. RNAcentral describes it as "bacterial SSU rRNA". It matches the Rfam family "Bacterial small subunit ribosomal RNA", at positions 32 to 520 of the family's 1533-position model. The record is from RNAcentral.